RNAcentral lists this long non-coding RNA (305 nucleotides) under Cicer arietinum (chickpea). Its description in RNAcentral is "long non-coding RNA (CARI_LNC002241)". Lineage: Eukaryota; Viridiplantae; Streptophyta; Magnoliopsida; Fabales; Fabaceae. The record is from RNAcentral.
AUUCCUGCCAUUUGGUCUUUUUUUUUCUUUGUGUUUGAACAAAGCACAAAUGUGGUGUUGUGUGUUUUUUACUUUGUUUUCCUGUCUUUGGUAGUGCUUUCUUUGGUGUCAGGUGAAUGAAUGAUAGGAAGUGUCGUGUCUUUGUUAUUGCUUUGUUCCAAUUCCAAUUUUGAGAUAAAAAAUAAGAGAUGAUAAGAUUGUUUUGGUGGAUUAAUAAUAGAAAAUAGAUUGUGUUGUUUCUGUCCAAAUCAAAAAAAGAUGUAUUCCCUUAUAAGAGAGACGGUGGACAAAAUUGGACCAUGCAU